This 253-nucleotide ribosomal RNA is filed under the name uncultured bacterium. RNAcentral's name for it is "partial 16S ribosomal RNA". It matches the Rfam family "Bacterial small subunit ribosomal RNA", at positions 524 to 776 of the family's 1533-position model. The record is from RNAcentral.
UACGUAGGGUGCGAGCGUUAAUCGGAAUUACUGGGCGUAAAGCGCACGUAGGCGGACUGGAAAGUCAGAGGUGAAAUCCCAGGGCUCAACCUUGGAACUGCCUUUGAAACUCUCAGUCUUGAGGUCGAGAGAGGUGAGUGGAAUUCCGAGUGUAGAGGUGAAAUUCGUAGAUAUUCGGAGGAACACCAGUGGCGAAGGCGGCUCACUGGCUCGAUACUGACGCUGAGGUGCGAAAGCGUGGGGAGCAAACAGG